UUGUUAAAAUUAAAGAAUAGUUGUAAGAGUGUAUAGUUACGUUUGUAACUUAUAUUGGUUUUGUAUUAGGUUUUAAGAAGCAUCUUUUUUAUGAGUAGUGGUGAGCGAAAGUAAUGUAUUAAGCUAUAGAGUAAAAGUACCGUGAGGGAAAUAUUAUAUAUAAUUUAGUGUAGUAGAGGUUGGGUCUUGUACCUUUUGUAUCAUGGCUUAUCGAGAGUUGUUCUGUUGUUAAUAGAGAGCCCGAAGAGGGGUGAGCUACUACGUGGCUUGGGCGUCAUUGUGGCAUAAAUGUGCCUAGAGUAUGUAGUAGGAGUGACAUUCUUUUCGCACCCUUGGAUAGCUGGUUAUCCGGGAAAUGCAUAUUAGUGCAGCCCUAAUGUUUUUAUUUAAUUGGAAAGAGUUAUUGAGCUGUCAUUAACUUAGGUAGCUUUAUGUUGGGUUAGGAGUGAGGUGGAAGGGGAUAAGCUCUUUUAUUUACUUAAAAGGUUUGUGGGAAGGGUUAUAGCUGUAUGAUUAAGUUGGUUUAAAAUUAUCUAUCUUAGGUGGGAGUUUUUUAUAAAAAAGUGUAGUAUCGAUUAUCUUUUAAUAGCUAUGGCAAACCUUUAUAGUUUUACCGGUUUACUUGGUUUAAUUGUGUUAACUUGGGGGAUUAUGUUAAGAUGAGUAUUUAGCUGUAAGAGUUUUAAUAAUAUGGGCCUUUGUUGUGAGGUACUGCGGUCCCAUAGUUGAUAUAAUUAGGUUAUUAAGUUGGUUUGACAAGUGUGAAAAUUUUUAGAAGGAACUCGGCAAAAAGUAGCUUCGCCUGUUUAUCAAAAACAUGGCCCCUUGUAGAUCUUAACAUGGGGGGUCUGACCUGCCCGGUGACAUUAACUUGUUAAACGGCCGCGGUACCCUGACCGUGCGAAGGUAGCAUAAUAAUUUGCCUUUUAAUUGGAGGAUGGAAUGAAUGGUUUGACGAGAGCUAAUCUGUCUCCUUUAAAAUAUUUAAAAAUUAACUUCUAGGUGAAGAGGCCUAGAUUUAGCUAAGGGACAAGAAGACCCUAUCGAGCUUUAGUGGCCCUUGGGUUGGAAGGCUUUCAUAUUGUGAAGAGCUGUAUCUUAAGGAAAUCUUUGAUUGGGGCGGUCCAGGAAUAUAAAAAACUUCCUGUUUUAUUUAAUUAACAUACCUGUUUGUGUUGAUCCAGUUUUUACUGAUUGAAGGAAAAAGUUACCGUAGGGAUAACAGCGUAAUCUUCUUGGAGAGUUCUUAUUGAAAAGCGGGUUUGCGACCUCGAUGUUGGACUAAGAUAUCCUGAGGGCGUAGAGGCUUUCAAGGGUUGGUCUGUUCGACCAUUAAAAUCUUACAUGAUCUGAGUUCAGACCGGCGUAAGCCAGGUCGGUUUCUAUCUUUGGGUGUGAAUAGGCCUCGGGUUAGUACGAAAGGAUCAUCAUUGUUGUGGGUAAAAAUUUUAGAUUAAGUUUAUGAGUUGAUCUAAUUUACUAUUAAAGUGCGU
RNAcentral lists this ribosomal RNA (1493 nucleotides) under Granata lyrata. RNAcentral describes it as "16S ribosomal RNA". It matches the Rfam family "Bacterial large subunit ribosomal RNA". The record is from RNAcentral. Lineage: Eukaryota; Metazoa; Mollusca; Gastropoda; Seguenziida; Chilodontidae.